RNAcentral lists this ribosomal RNA (274 nucleotides) under uncultured bacterium. Its description in RNAcentral is "partial 16S ribosomal RNA". It matches the Rfam family "Bacterial small subunit ribosomal RNA", at positions 523 to 796 of the family's 1533-position model. The record is from RNAcentral.
AUACGGAGGGUGCAAGCGUUAAUCGGAAUUACUGGGCGUAAAGCGUGCGCAGGCGGUUUGUUAAGUCAGAUGUGAAAGCCCCGGGCUCAACCUGGGAACUGCAUUUGAAACUGGCAAACUAGAGUGUGGUAGAGGGACGUGGAAUUCCUCAUGUAGCGGUGAAAUGCGUAGAUAUGAGGAGGAACACCAGUGGCGAAGGCGACUUCCUGGACCAACACUGACGCUCAUGUACGAAAGCGUGGGUAGCAAACAGGAGUAGAAACCCUAGUAGUCC